Oncorhynchus keta (chum salmon) is the source of this 178-nucleotide long non-coding RNA. RefSeq lists it as uncharacterized. Lineage: Eukaryota; Metazoa; Chordata; Actinopteri; Salmoniformes; Salmonidae. The transcript has 3 exons. The record is from RefSeq and is a predicted model, not a curated record.
UACAGUAAUGACUCCCUCCAGGGGUAAUACAGUAAUGACUCCCUCCAGGGGUAAUACAGUAAUGACUCCCUCCAGGGGUAAUACAGUAAUGACUCCCUCCAGGGGUAAUACAGUAAUGACUCCCUCCAGGGGUAAUACAGUAAUGACUCCCUCCAGGGGUAAUACAGUAAUGACUCCC